This 940-nucleotide ribosomal RNA is filed under the name Bjerkandera adusta. Its description in RNAcentral is "LSU rRNA". It matches the Rfam family "Eukaryotic large subunit ribosomal RNA", at positions 38 to 961 of the family's 3401-position model. Lineage: Eukaryota; Fungi; Basidiomycota; Agaricomycetes; Polyporales; Phanerochaetaceae. The record is from RNAcentral.
GCAUAUCAAUAAGCGGAGGAAAAAGAAACUAACAAGGAUUCCCCCUAGUAACUGCGAGUGAAGCGGGAAAAGCUCAAAUUUAAAAUCUGGCGGUCUUCGGCCGUCCGAGUUGUAAUCUGGAGAAGCGUUUUCCGCGCUGGACCGUGUACAAGUCUCUUGGAACAGAGCGUCAUAGAGGGUGAGAAUCCCGUCUUUGACACGGACUACCAGUGCUAUGUGAUGCGCUCUCGAUGAGUCGAGUUGUUUGGGAAUGCAGCUCAAAAUGGGUGGUAAAUUCCAUCUAAAGCUAAAUAUUGGCGAGAGACCGAUAGCGAACAAGUACCGUGAGGGAAAGAUGAAAAGCACUUUGGAAAGAGAGUUAAACAGUACGUGAAAUUGCUGAAAGGGAAACGAUUGAAGUCAGUCGCGUGUGCUAGAACUCAGCCUUGCUUUUGCUUGGUGCAUUUUCUAGUGUACGGGCCAGCAUCAGUUUUGGCCGCCGGAAAAAGGCCUUGGGAAUGUGGCACCUUCGGGUGUGUUAUAGCCCUUGGUUGUAUACGGUGGCUGGGACUGAGGAACAUAGCAUGCCUUUACGGCGGGGCUUCGGCCACCUUCAUGCUUUGGAUGCUGGCGUAAUGGCUUUAAACGACCCGUCUUGAAACACGGACCAAGGAGUCUAACAUGCCUGCGAGUGUUUGGGUGGAAAACCCGAGCGCGUAAUGAAAGUGAAAGUUGGGACUUCUGUCGUGGAAGGCACCGACGCCCGGACCAGACCUUCUGUGACGGAUCCGCGGUAGAGCAUGUAUGUUGGGACCCGAAAGAUGGUGAACUAUGCCUGAAUAGGGUGAAGCCAGAGGAAACUCUGGUGGAGGCUCGUAGCGAUUCUGACGUGCAAAUCGAUCGUCAAAUUUGGGUAUAGGGGCGAAAGACUAAUCGAACCCAUCUAGUAGCUGCUCUGCGA